Molecule: ribosomal RNA, 429 nt
Filed under: Pseudomonadota bacterium
Lineage: Bacteria; Pseudomonadati; Pseudomonadota
Description: Proteobacteria bacterium partial 16S ribosomal RNA
Rfam family: Bacterial small subunit ribosomal RNA
Source: RNAcentral
UGGGGAAUAUUGGACAAUGGGCGAAAGCCUGAUCCAGCCAUGCCGCGUGUGUGAAGAAGGUCUUCGGAUUGUAAAGCACUUUAAGUUGGGAGGAAGGGCAGUAAGCGAAUACCUUGCUGUUUUGACGUUACCGACAGAAUAAGCACCGGCUAACUCUGUGCCAGCAGCCGCGGUAAUACAGAGGGUGCAAGCGUUAAUCGGAAUUACUGGGCGUAAAGCGCGCGUAGGUGGUUCGUUAAGUUGAAUGUGAAAGCCCCGGGCUCAACCUGGUAACUGCAUCCAAAACUGGCGAGCUAGAGUAGGGCAGAGGGUGGUAGAGUUUCCUGGGUAGCGGAGAAAUGCGUAGGUAUAAGAAGGAACACAAGAAGGGAAGGCGACCACCUGGGCUCAUACUGACACUGAGGUGCGAAAGCGUGGGGAGCAAACAGG